ACAGGUGCAGCGCCCUUGGCGCCGCCCUCCGCACCCCACGCGCCCCCCUCCGCUCCCCGGCCGACGGCCCACCUGGGCUUCGUGAACAGUGGGAGGGAGAGUCUGGGGCCAGGAGAGGGACGAUGCACGAUCAGGGAAAGGUAGAAAUCAGAAGUACAUGCAAUAGGAAUUAACUUGAAUAUGAUGUAUAAAGUUUGAAGAAAAGGCUCUCCCUCUGUCACCCAGGCUGGAAUGCAGUGGCACGAUCUUGGCUCACUGCAAACUUAGCCUCCAAAUUCAUGUGAUUCUCCCCCCUCUGCCUCCUGAGUAGCUGGGAUUACAGAUACAGGGUCUCACUCUGUUGCCCAGGCUGGAGAACAGUGGCAUGAUCAUGCAUUCAUUAUUCACUGCAGACUUAAACUUCUGGCCUCAAGCAAUCUUUUAACCUUGACCUCCCAAAGUGCUGUGAUUACAGGUGUGAGCCACUGUGUUUAGCCUAGACUUACUUUUAAUAGCUUUUGAUAAGUUAUUUUUUAAUGUAAUUUUGAUAAAAUAAUUGUACCUAAAAUGUACUAAUGUGUUGGUAU
RNAcentral lists this long non-coding RNA (566 nucleotides) under Pongo abelii (Sumatran orangutan). RNAcentral describes it as "lincRNA". The record is from RNAcentral. Lineage: Eukaryota; Metazoa; Chordata; Mammalia; Primates; Hominidae.